This 1825-nucleotide unclassified non-coding RNA is filed under the name Hevea brasiliensis (rubber tree). Lineage: Eukaryota; Viridiplantae; Streptophyta; Magnoliopsida; Malpighiales; Euphorbiaceae. The record is from RNAcentral.
GUCUUGCCUCUUGCUGGGAACUGAAGAAAAAAGUCAAAACCACACGUACUCCAACUGCGAGGAUUAUUAAGCCAAACGGUGGUGAGACUGAAGAGAAAGGAAGCAAAGAGAACAUAAAAUGGAAGGAAAAACGAAGGAGAAAUGUGAGAAGAGUGGGAUAAUCGAGAUGUGGGCAAAGAAACACCUACUAUACACAGAAGCUACUAGACACCCCUUUAUCCUCAGCAUUCGAGAUGGGUCCGUCGAUCUUUCCUCUUUCAAAAGAUGGCUGGUACUGUGUUCUUAAUCUCAAUAAUCACACUCCUUUUGUAUUAUUUUGCUCUGUAAAUCCUAUAAUUGCUUCAAUUAAUUGCAUUUAGCAAGCACUAAAUUUUGUGGCAAGAUUUUGUAGGGCUUACUCUUAGGGUCAACUUUGGAAUCAAAAUUUGGUAUAUUUAUCUGAUGCAAGAGUUGUAUUUAUACUGAAUGCACUCUGACAAUGAUCAUGGUGGGAUCCGUCCAAGACCAUAAUAAUUUUCUUUCAGAAUAAAAGGGUUGUAUAUACAACCGUUUCACUAAAUAAUUUUCCAAAAUUUGACUAAAGCAAAAAAUGAAAAUUGCAGGGACAGGAUUAUGUAUUUGUUAGAGAGUUUGUACCAUUUGUGGCAAGUGUAUUGAUUAAAGCUUCUAAGAAAUCAGAUGAUGGUAAUGACAUGGAAGUUAUACUAGGUGGUUUGGCUUCUUUAAAUGAUGAGAUUGCUUGGUUCAAGUCAGAGGCCUCCAAGUGGGAUGUUCCUCUUUCUAACACUGUUGUCCAUAAGGCAAACCAGAAUUACCGCAGGUACCAUGUACGCUUCAGCUAAUAUUAUCUUUGGAUUCUUGGUUUUUGAUCAUUCUCAUUUCCAGAUACCAUGAUAAUAUUUUAUAUAUAUAUUCUGCUAAAUUUGGGAUUUUUUUUUUCUAGUUAUGCUUCAUGCCUAUAGAGAAUUUCUAUGUGGGAAUUGAUUUUUCCAUCAAUUAUGAUCAUCCCUAUCAGUACAUUGAAUGAUUCAAUAACAAAUUGGGGUUGGGCCAGUCUGUAUGCUUUGACGAAAUUGUCAUGAAUUUGAAAUCUGGACGCACCCUUUGUGGAAAAAUAAUAAUAAAGAUUAAAGAAAAUAUUGAGCAGUUCAAGGGCCAUUCCAUUUCAAUGUCAGGGUUUGAGACACUUCUGCCAGUAUCUUGAAUCUUGAUGGCUAUUCAUGAAGAAGUUUUUCCUAAUUACAAUAGUCCAUAACCUCUGGUUUAAUUUUCUGAUUACUUGUAAAUGUAAUAUAUAUUGUGUUAUUUUAUUCUUUAUGUCUUAGAGAAGAUGCACGUGGUUUGCUACAGAUUUCUCGAGAAUUUGAUGUUACCAGAAGUUGAUUAUGCCGUGGCCAUUACAGCCUUUUGGGCCAUUGAAGCUGUAUACCAGGAGAGCUUUGCACACUGCUUGGAAGAUGGCAGCAAAACUCCAUCAGAAUUGCAGGACACUUGCCAAAGAUGGGGCAAUGAAGGUUUUGGUGAAUAUUGCCGUUCUUUACAGAAAAUUGCCAAUCGGUGUCUUGAGAAGGCUUCAAGUGACGUGCUUACAAAAGCUGAAGUAACUUUCUUGCGUGUUCUUGAACAUGAAGUUGAGUUUUGGAACAUGAGCCAUGGUUGUGCCUGAAAGAGUUGGCUUCAAAACCUGACAUAAUGGCGUUCCUAAUGCAAAAAUAGAUUUUACUUCAGGCUAGUUCCUAGGGUUUUCUCUGAGCAUUGUAAGUGAAGUUGAAAUGUAAAGGACAUACAAGUAAUAGUCUAUAUAAUCCGUUAAAUUUCGUUUUGC